UUUAAGGUAUGUUCAGUUCCAUAUAAUUACUUAUGUAAUAUGCAUUUAUAAAGUGCUUGAACAUUUUAAAAGUAAGUAUCAAGAAACUAUCAAUGGUAAUGUUUUAAAGAUGCUAAAAAAUUAUUUUCACCUAGGCAAACCAUAUAAACAUCCAGUUUUCUUUAAAAAUUUCAAUAGGCAUCCGUAAUUAGGGGUAUUUCCUGAUUUCCAUCCUAAAGGAGAUUGCCUUUUUUUUGUUUUUUUUAGAUGGAAUCUCACUGUGUCACCAGGCUGGAGUGCAGUGGUGCAAUCCCACCUCACUGCAACCUCCGCUUCCCGGGUUCAAGCGAUUCUCCUGCCUCAGCCUCCCGAGUAGCUAGGACUACAGGCGUGCGCCACCACGCCCAGCUAAUCUGUGUAUUUUCAGUAGAGACAGGGUUUCACUAUGUUGGCCAGGAUGGUCUCGAUCUCUUGACCUCGUGAUCUGCCCACCUCGGCCUCCCAAAGUGCUGGGAUUACAGGAGUGAGCCACUGCGCCCGGCCCAGACUGCCUUUUCGGUGAGAAGAACAAUUUGUGGGGUUGAACUACCUGAUGUCAAAUAAGAAUUACAGCAGGAGUUAGUUAUAUAAAAAUAGUUUCCCACAAAUACUAACAUAAGAAAUAUCAAAUAUCUUGUCAUAUUUCUAGUAUUAAAUUUCUUUUGCUUUUACAGUAAAUUGUUUGGAGGAUAUAAGGUUUACUUCUAAGGAGAUAAAAAGCAAUUGAUGCUUCCUCAAAAUAAAAAAGUUGACUCCAGCCAUGUUUUUAUUUGUUGAGAAAUAUUCUAUAUCUACACUAUGGGAUACAGACUAACAGUUAUUUACCUGUCUAUUGAGUACUUGUCACCUAGGAGUCAUCAGUAAGUUGCAUCCAUUAAACAAAGAAAAGUCAUUCAACCAGCCAUCUGGAGACAACAUGGGCAAAGGUUAACACUGAGGAGAAACUGCUGGAAGUAGAAUCCAAAUUAAGUAAGAGAAGAAACAGAGACCAGAUCCAGGUCCCCACUUGAAUCACUAUAAUUAUUGAAAAUAGCAGCUGAUACGUACCAAUAUAAAACUGAAGACUUGCUAUGACCCAGGAACUCUGGGAAGCAUGUUAUGUAAUUGCAUCUGCCUUCCUUGCUGGACUCUAAGCUCCUUGAGGACAAAGAUGUAUCCAUUGUGCCACUUCUACAUUCUCCAAGCCUAGCAGAGAACCAAGAACUAAGGGCUCAAAAACAUGUGUUGAAUUAAUUAAGAAUAUCACAGCAAAUCCUCUGAAAAACUCAGAGAUAAGUGACAUCAUCAUCCUUAUUUUAUAGAUGACAAACCUGAAAUUUGGGUCAAGAACACAGAGCCUGUGGGUGACAAACAGCAAUCCAAACCAACAAUCAGAUUCCCAAACUUGAAAACUCAUCUACUCUGCCUCACUGAUCAGUUUGUUUGCCCAGUUUCACCAUAAAAGAGUAGGUAAGAUGGGGAGUGAGGAGAGAGACACAAGGAAAAACAUCUCUUGCUUGAGACACCCUCUUCUUUCUUACUCACUUGCCACACAUUCUUUAAGGCUUAUUUCCAGCCCAAAAUUCUCCAAGAAAUCUUUUUGGACCAUACAGCUCUUUUUGUUUCUUCUGAAUACCAGCAGCCCUUAAUAUCCAUUGAAAAGAAUUAAAAAACUACCCCAGCUCUCCUGCAUAGCUCAUUCUUGUUAAGUGUAUGGAGUCCUCUGAAUUUCCCAAAAGCAUGAUAAGGUCCUAAGGGCAAGGUACCCAAUUAUUUUCCCUGUUUGCGGAACAGCACACAGCACAAAAAUGAACACAUGGUUUAGGUUCUUUGUAACUACCUAAGGUCAGAUCAGCUAGAGUGACUAGUUAAUGAUAUACAUAAUAUCAGUAUCAGACCAGGAAUAUCCUUCCUCCUCUCAUUUGUAAAAUUCUCUCAAAUAUCACCCAUUAAAACUGUGGACUUCUUCAUCCUUUUUGUGUUCAUUUAUCUAAAGUGCUAGACAAGCCAGGAGAAUGCCCUGGCCAAAGAAAAUUAAAGGAAGAAAAGGUUAUGAGCUUUUUGCUUCCUCCCAUGCACACUUUGCUUAAUUCAGGGAGCAUUUGGUUUUUAUUCCAUGAGAGACCAAGGACUCCCACUUCAAAAACAACACAAUGAUUAUGGCCAGCAAAAUUCCUAUAAAAGAGAACAUAAAGAAACUUCAGAGACAUUUAAUUGAUCUACAGUAAGAAUGGGCCAGGAUUUUUACACUCUGGAAGUAUUAGGUAGAACUGUAGUUAAAAUUAUUUAUUUUAUUACAAGAAUAGUACAAGGCUGUCUUUAUGCCAGAGUAAUUAUCCAGUUAAUUGCCCUAGAAUGAGUAUAACCCAGUUUCCAGAUACAUAACACACAUUUUGCCAAAUGUGACUUGACUUAUGCCAGCAGCCUGCAACAGUUUUAAUCUCAAAAGUUGCCAGGGAACUUAAAGGACACCCACGGGAGCCUGGGGCAAGCCCAAGACUGCACAGCAGGAAGCACAUGGAAGGGGAAGGAAGAAAAGGAAUGACUAUCAGCUGCUGGGACCAAGGAGUCCAGGAAAGUAGAACAAGGAAGGGAUGUGAGCAGAGGAAAACAAGUAGAAGAAAGGAAAAAAUAAGUAAAUGUGGUGAAGAACAAUGGCCUUCUUUUUGGCAUUAACGGAAUAAAAUAUGUUUUGGGCAUCAUAGAUGUUACUGCUCUUUUUUGAGAAUUAAAUGAAGUAUAUAAUGAGCUAGGCAAAGUGCCAAACAUAUAGUAAUAAUUUUAGGAUGUUAGGUGUUUUUUGUCCCCCAAAGGGAUGUUUGUUUGUGGGGGUUUUUUGUUUUGUUUUGUUUUUUGUUUAUUUUUUGAGAUGGAGUCUGGCUCUUAUCGCCA
This 2889-nucleotide long non-coding RNA is filed under the name Homo sapiens (human). RNAcentral's name for it is "HSALNT0127328". Lineage: Eukaryota; Metazoa; Chordata; Mammalia; Primates; Hominidae. The record is from RNAcentral.